This 660-nucleotide ribosomal RNA is filed under the name uncultured bacterium. RNAcentral's name for it is "bacterial SSU rRNA". It matches the Rfam family "Bacterial small subunit ribosomal RNA", at positions 94 to 788 of the family's 1533-position model. The record is from RNAcentral.
AGUGGCGGACGGGUGAGUAACGCGUGAGAAUCUGCCUUGGGGUCGGGGACAACCACUGGAAACGGUGGCUAAUACCGGAUAAGCCGAUUGGUGAAAGAUUUAUUGCCCGAAGAGGAGCUCGCGUCUGAUUAGCUAGUUGGUGAGGUAAGAGCUCACCAAGGCAGCGAUCAGUAGCUGGUCUGAGAGGACGAUCAGCCACACUGGGACUGAGACACGGCCCAGACUCCUACGGGAGGCAGCAGUGGGGAAUUUUCCGCAAUGGGCGAAAGCCUGACGGAGCAAGACCGCGUGAGGGAGGAAGGCUCUUGGGUUGUAAACCUCUUUUCUCAGGGAAGAAUCUCUGACGGUACCUGAGGAAUCAGCCUCGGCUAACUCCGUGCCAGCAGCCGCGGUAAUACGGAGGAGGCAAGCGUUAUCCGGAAUUAUUGGGCGUAAAGCGUCCGCAGGUGGCGAUUCAAGUCUGCUGUCAAAGCACGGGGCUUAACUCCGUAAAGGCAGUGGAAACUGAAUAGCUAGAGUGCCGUAGGGGUAGAGGGAAUUCCCGGUGUAGCGGUGAAAUGCGUAGAGAUCGGGAAGAACAUCGGUGGCGAAAGCGCUCUACUGGACGGCAACUGACACUCAGGGACGAAAGCUAGGGGAGCGAAUGGGAUUAGAUACCCC